CGGUCUAAAGAAAUUGUACGCCAGGAUUAAUACCAUGGGAGGGGAGAAACAUCCUGGUGGGCGAAAGGCCGGAUGCUGCAAGGGCCAUCUACUGACGCUGAGAGGGCAAAGCAUGGUGGAGCAGAACAGGGAUAACAUAACCCGUAGUAGUCCACGCGGUAAUCCGGUGCGAACUAGGUGUUGGCGACAUUGCAUGUGGUCUGUGCCGCAGCUAACGCAUUAAGUUCCCCGCCUGCGGAGUCCGGCCGCAAGGCUAAAAAUCAUAGGAAUUGACAGGGGUCCGCACAAGCAGCGGAGCAUGUGGCUUAAUUUGACGCAACGCGAAGAACCUUACCAAGGCUUGACAUACACCGGAAAGCAUCAGAGAUGGUGCCCCCCUUGUGGUCGGUGUACAGGUGGUGCAUGGCUGUCGUCAGUCGUGUCGUAAAAAGUUGGGUUAAGUCCCGCAACGAGCGCAACCCUUGUUCUGUGUUGCCAGCAUGCCCUCGGGGUGAUGGGGACUCACAGAAGACCGCCGGGGUCAACUCGGAGGAAGGUGGGGAGGAAGUCAAGUCAUCAUUCCCGUCUUGGGAUGCACACGUGCUACAAUGGCAGGUACAAUGAGAUGGGAUACCCUGAGGUGGAGCAAAUCUCAAAAAGCCUGUCUCAGUUCGUAUUGGGGUCUGCAACUCGACCCCAUGAAGUCGGAGUUGCUAGUAAUGGCAGAUCAGCAUUGAUGCGGUGAAUACGUUCCCGGGCCUUCUUCACACCGCCCGUCACGUCCCCCAAGUCGGUAACUCCCGAAGCCGGUGCCCACUCCCCUUUUGGGAGGGACGCUGUACGAAGGUGGGAACUGGCGACGGAGGAAGUCGUAACAAGAAGCCAAC
This 866-nucleotide ribosomal RNA is filed under the name Streptomyces sp. RNAcentral's name for it is "bacterial SSU rRNA". It matches the Rfam family "Bacterial small subunit ribosomal RNA", at positions 637 to 1503 of the family's 1533-position model. Lineage: Bacteria; Bacillati; Actinomycetota; Actinomycetes; Kitasatosporales; Streptomycetaceae. The record is from RNAcentral.